This 362-nucleotide ribosomal RNA is filed under the name Campylobacter coli. Its description in RNAcentral is "bacterial SSU rRNA". It matches the Rfam family "Bacterial small subunit ribosomal RNA", at positions 1170 to 1533 of the family's 1533-position model. Lineage: Bacteria; Pseudomonadati; Campylobacterota; Epsilonproteobacteria; Campylobacterales; Campylobacteraceae. The record is from RNAcentral.
AAGGUGUGGACGACGUCAAGUCAUCAUGGCCCUUAUGCCCAGGGCGACACACGUGCUACAAUGGCAUAUACAAUGAGACGCAAUACCGCGAGGUGGAGCAAAUCUAUAAAAUAUGUCCCAGUUCGGAUUGUUCUCUGCAACUCGAGAGCAUGAAGCCGGAAUCGCUAGUAAUCGUAGAUCAGCCAUGCUACGGUGAAUACGUUCCCGGGUCUUGUACUCACCGCCCGUCACACCAUGGGAGUUGAUUUCACUCGAAGCCGGAAUACUAAACUAGUUACCGUCCACAGUGGAAUCAGCGACUGGGGUGAAGUCGUAACAAGGUAACCGUAGGAGAACCUGCGGUUGGAUCACCUCCUUUCUAG